GACUCCGUAGCUCAGCUGGAUAGAGCAAUCGCCUUCUAAGCGAUCGGUCGCGUGUUCGAAUCACGCCGGAGUCACCA
RNAcentral lists this transfer RNA (77 nucleotides) under Bacilli bacterium. RNAcentral describes it as "tRNA-Arg". It matches the Rfam family "tRNA". Rfam says of the family: Transfer RNA (tRNA) molecules are approximately 80 nucleotides in length. Their secondary structure includes four short double-helical elements and three loops (D, anti-codon, and T loops). Lineage: Bacteria; Bacillati; Bacillota; Bacilli. The record is from RNAcentral.